This 148-nucleotide non-coding RNA is filed under the name Pan troglodytes (chimpanzee). Lineage: Eukaryota; Metazoa; Chordata; Mammalia; Primates; Hominidae. The record is from Rfam by way of RNAcentral.
GCCAGGUGUGGUGGUGUACACCUGUAGUCCUAGUUACUUGGGAGGCUGAGUUGGGAGGAUGGCUUGAGCCCAGGAGGUGGAGGUUGCUGUGAGCCAAGAUCAUGCCACUGCACUCUAGCCUAGGCAACAAAGCCAGACCCUGUCUCAA